GUGAGCGUCCCUUCCUGGGCAGCUAUACUGGGUCUCUUAGAGGCAGCGUCCUCGGCCUGCAGCUUCCCUCACUCUGUCCCUGCAGGCUGGAAGCUCCCUAGAGCUCUUGUCCACCCAGGAGCAAGAUAGCUUUCUUUCCUCCUCCUCCCUUCCCUCUCCUUCCCCUCCUCCCUCUCUUCCUCCCUCUGCCCUCCCAGUCCUUUUCUUUCUUCUCCUCCUCCUGCUCCUCCUCCUCCUCCUGCUCCUCCUGCUCCUCCUCCUUCUCUUCCUUCUCUUUUCCUCCUUCUCUACCUCCUCCUCUUUUGUACUGUGGUGUCAGUGGACACGUGGAACACUUCUGCCCCUGGCUAUUGAGAAUCAAGCUGCUAGGAAUAAUGCCACGGGAUGCCAGCAGCAGGCCCAGACGUCUCAGAUUUAUGGUGUCUCCUGAUUGUGUGUAGAGGCCAUGGCAGGUGACUGAUCUGUAUCAUACCAGAUUCCCCAUCCAACUGGUUGGGAAGCUCUUCAUGUGGCUUUUCAGAGUGGACAGUCCUGCUAGCUGUCCCUUUGCCCUCUGCCAGAUCCCCAGAGUUCUUUUCAUUCAUUGAUGGCUUAGGAAGAGAGAGUGUGUGCAAGACACACGUGUCUUCUACUCACUGGCCAAGAUAAGACAAGACUACAACAUCAUUUCCUGGUCCUGCCUACUUCCUGUGGGCGGCCCCUUCUCCACGAGAGCAGCACCUGACACAGGGGACUCAUUCUCCUUUGAUGCUUUUUAAAGGUGUACUUGUGACUCGAAUGACUGUGAUCCUGGGAAAACUCAACAUUUCAUCUCAUCAAAGUCACCUUUCCAACUUUAGCAGUGAAAACUACAAGAAAGGGGGUCAAAAUUCAGAUUAGGCAUCCUGGAGCAUCCUCUCUGGCUCCACAAGGUGAUCAGAGAGUGUGGACACAUAUCCAUCUAUUGACAAAUAAUUGUGAAAGGCAAAAUGUCUCCCUAAAUUAUAGUAAUGCACAUGUGAUGUGUAUAAUUCAACACCCUUUUGUGUAGGAAGUAGCCAUACUACUAAUACACUGCUGGUGGAAUUCUUA
Molecule: long non-coding RNA, 1071 nt
Filed under: Heterocephalus glaber (naked mole-rat)
Lineage: Eukaryota; Metazoa; Chordata; Mammalia; Rodentia; Bathyergidae
Description: lncRNA (ENSHGLG00100050465.1)
Source: RNAcentral